Molecule: ribosomal RNA, 459 nt
Filed under: uncultured bacterium
Lineage: Bacteria
Description: bacterial SSU rRNA
Rfam family: Bacterial small subunit ribosomal RNA
Source: RNAcentral
UACGGAAGGCAGCAGUGGGGAAUAUUGCACAAUGGGCGAAAGCCUGAUGCAGCUAUGCCGCGUGUAUGAAGAAGGCCUUAGGGUUGUAAAGUACUUUCAUCGGGGAGGAAAAAACAAAACUAAUAAUUUUAUUUCUUGACGUUACCCGAAAAAGAAGCACCGGCUAACUCCGUGCCAGCAGCCGCGGUAAUACGGAGGGUGCUAGCGUUAAUCAGAAUUACUGGGCGUAAAGAGCACGUAGGUGGUUUUUUUAAGUCAGAUGUGAAAUCCCUGGGCUUAACCUAGGAACUGCAUUUUGAAACUGAAAUACUAGAGUAUCGUAGAGGGAGGUAGAAUUCUAGGUGUAGCGGUGAAAUGCGUAGAUAUCUGGAGGAAUACCUGUGGCGAAAGCGGCCUCCUAAACGAAUACUGACACUGAGGUGCGAAAAGCGUGGGGAGCAAAACAGGGAUUAGGAUACC